UCUCGCGAGAGAUGAGCGCGCCUGGCCGGACGAGAGGAAAGUAUCAGCUCCGCUGAGGGGGGGGAAGAAGGAGCUGGAGACAGAUUGUGGGACCGAGCGCGGGCGGGCGGGAGGCGACGGAGCUGCCAGCGGCUCCGCUCUGCUACAUGAAAUAUGGGAGACGACAGACCGUUUGUGUGCAAUGCCCCGGGCUGUGGACAGAGAUUUACAAACGAGGACCACCUGGCAGUUCAUAAACACAAGCAUGAGAUGACAUUGAAAUUUGGCCCAGCCCGAACUGACUCAGUCAUCAUUGCAGAUCAAACUCCUACUCCAACUAGAUUCCUGAAGAACUGUGAGGAGGUGGGGCUCUUCAAUGAACUAGCUAGCUCCUUUGAACAUGAAUUCAAGAAAGCUGCAGAUGAGGAUGAGAAAAAGCAGGCGGCUGCAGGGCCCCUUGACAUGUCUCUGCCUUCCACACCAGACAUUAAAGUCAAAGAAGAGGGGCCAGUGGAGGUAGACUCAUCCCCACCUGACAGCCCUGCCUCCAGCCCCUGCUCCCCGGUGCUCAAGGACAAGGAAAUUGCCCCCAAGCCUAUUGUGAUAUCUACCCCAACGCCUACCAUUGUACGCCCUGGCUCCCUGCCUCUCCACUUGGGCUAUGAUCCACUUCACCCAACCCUUCCCUCCCCAACCUCUGUCAUCACACAGGCUCCACCAUCCAACAGGCAACUGGGGUCUCCCACUGGCUCCCUUCCUCUCGUCAUGCAUCUUGCUAAUGGGCAGGCCAUGCCUGUGCUGCCAGGGCCUCCAGUACAGAUGCCUUCUGUUAUAUCGCUGGCCAGACCUGUGUCUAUGGUGCCCAACAUUCCUGGUAUCCCUGGCCCACCAGUUAACAGCAGUGGCUCCAUUUCUCCCUCUGGCCACCCUAUGCCAUCAGAAGCCAAGAUGAGACUAAAAGCCACCCUAACCAACCAAGUCUCCUCAAUCAAUGGUGGUUGUGGAAUGGUGGUGGGUACUGCCAGCACCAUGGUGACAGCCCGUCCUGAGCAGAGCCAGAUCCUCAUCCAGCACCCUGAUGCCCCAUCCCCUGCCCAGCCACAGGUCUCACCAGCCCAGCCCACUCCUAGUACAGGAGGGCGCCGGCGGCGCACAGUGGAUGAAGAUCCGGAUGAGCGGCGGCAGCGCUUUCUGGAGCGCAACCGGGCUGCUGCCUCUCGCUGCCGUCAGAAGCGGAAGCUAUGGGUGUCCUCCCUAGAGAAGAAGGCAGAGGAACUCACUUCUCAGAACAUUCAGCUGAGUAAUGAAGUCACAUUACUACGCAAUGAGGUGGCUCAGUUGAAACAGCUGCUGUUAGCUCAUAAAGACUGUCCAGUCACUGCACUACAGAAAAAGACCCAAGGCUACUUAGAAAGCCCCAAGGAAAGCUCGGAGCCGACGGGUUCUCCAGCCCCUGUGAUUCAGCACAGCUCAGCAACAGCACCCAGCAAUGGCCUCAGUGUUCGCUCUGCAGCUGAAGCGGUGGCCACCUCAGUCCUCACUCAGAUGGCCAGCCAAAGGACAGAACUGAGCAUGCCGAUACAGUCGCAUGUGAUUAUGACUCCACAGUCCCAGUCUGCGGGCAGAUGAUGCCUCCCCUGGUGGAGAGGUCCCCAGCCAGAGCUCGCCCGUUCAAGAGCCAAGAAAGAUGUCAUCUUAUCCCCUCCCAUCUGUCCUGGACAUGGCAGUAUGGGGGGGAACUGUGUGUUAGCCGGUGCUGAACAAGCCACACCUGGUGAAGAGAAAGGAGAGAAACGUGGUUUUCUCAUCCUCUACCACCCGGGACCCAGCAGGAACAGCCCCUGAGGUGACUCAGAUUAGCAAAUGGCAUGGCAGAUGGUCAGGAUGCAGGUUUCCGCCUCGGCCUCCGGGGACUCCACUCGCCUGUAAAAUUCACAGCCAUAACUCGUGCUCAGGGCUCUCAGACGCUGCUCCCCGACUCUUCUGCUUUAGUUUGUUUCAGUUUUUUAUUCUAUUGAUUUCCCACCAGCAGCCUUGCCCUUAAGCUUGACUGAGUUUAUGGCUCCUAAGGAGCCUUUGUAAGACCUUUCACUAUUUUCUUCCCCCUUCAGUCAAGUGUGUUUCAAGUGAAGAAUCUCACACAGGCCCUGCCUCGCUGCUGGGCGCUGGAGGAGGCUGUCCUGCCAUCUGCCCCUGAGUAGGAUGGCUCAUUUACGUAGAGGGUCUCGGCUCGUUCCUUAACCCCAUGUCUAAUCUCAUUUUCAUCAGUGGCAAGUCAGCACUGGGGACCUAUAUGAGGGGCAUUGACAGACCCUCAGUAGAAAAGCAGCAGUGACUUGAGGAAGGGGCAGGACAAGCCUCCAGCCAGCUCUUCAGUUGGUCCUCGGUCUCACUAAGAAGACAGAGCAGUUGCUUACCAUGAAGCCUGUCUUAUAUUAAGGGGAAUGUUAUCGACCUUGUCCUUGCUGCCAGCCAUGUGGCCGCUCUUCCCUGCUCUUUGCCUUCCAGACUCAUCUGGACCAGAACCAAACAUCAUGGAGGGCAUUAUUUAGCCCUUUUUAGGUUGCCUAGGGAGCUAAGGGAAGACAUUUCUGAAAGGAGCUGGGGUGUGGACCCUAGGACUCUUCCAAGUGAACACAGGACUAGGCCUCUCACUUCACUCCAAAGACAUAGCUGCUAGACAUGCAAGGCCAGAAAGCAGGGGUGGGGAACGUCCGGCAUGCAGGCCAUUUAAGGCCCAUGGAAUCAUUUGGUCUGGAUUUGGCAAGGCAUUAGGGGUGAGUUAAUUAAAUGUUUAACCAAA
Molecule: RNA transcript, 2782 nt
Organism: Myotis lucifugus (little brown bat)
Lineage: Eukaryota; Metazoa; Chordata; Mammalia; Chiroptera; Vespertilionidae
Gene: ATF7
Gene name: activating transcription factor 7
Exons: 13
Source: RefSeq, a predicted model, not a curated record